AUGCGGUGGUUGGCAAAAGGUGAUGCCCGACGCAACGUGCAAUGCCCUGUGUCACUAGGCCCUGCACUGGCUCCCCGUCCCAUCCCCGCUUGGCUUCAUGGUAGAUGCUGCAGAUGCCUCUAUCCUGGACACCGUGCAGCAGAGUGUCGAGAUCCUUUUAGGUGUUCUCGAUGCCUUGAGAAUGGUCAUCGAGCGCGUGGGUGCCGCAAUGCCCGGCGUCCCCUCAGCUUUUUGGGAAGCCCUACUUUGUCGCCAUUGCCCCGCCUCCCUAUCGGACACCAACAAGCUUCAGUUCCUUGCAAGGUCUGGAAAGAAGCCGCGCCCCUCUCGAAGACGUUUGGUCGUGAUUCUUGGGCAUCGAUCGUUGCUGCUCCUGCUAGCUCUGUGGCCUCUGAGGAUAUCCCACUGCGUCCUGCCUUGGAGAGGCAAGCCGAGUUGUUGCGCUUUGAGCUCCUUGAUAUGGCUUCCUUCCGGUUUGAGGAGAUGGUCCAGCCUCUGCGUGAUGUCGUUGACUCCAUGCAAGGUUGGAUGUUGCGGAUGGAGAGUUUCAUGGAGCGAGUUGAGGCUGCACUAGGAGGGCUCUCCCUGGCGCCGCCUGUGUUGCAGAGUGCUCAUGUGUUGUGCCCUUUGAUUGUGCCUGAUGGCAGCUUCGAGGUCGAGAGGGGAGACGAGCUUCAUGGCUGUUUCUCCCCUCGUGCUAGAGCCAGCUCGCCGCCGUCGGCCUAUGAGGGUCUAGGCAAUGAUGUGGUUGUGACUCCGUUGCUGCAGAUCAUGCCUGAGCUUCGGGAGCUGUGUGGAGGCUCGGUUCUGCCCCUGUCCGUCGAACAACCGAAGGUAGACCCUCCUAAGAUCUCAAUUGUGGCUUUAUCGCCAUCGUCACCCCUGGAUUCUAGCCAGAUACUUGAUGCUGAGGAGUGUGGUGAUUUGGAUGUUUCAAUCUCUCCAUCUCCUAAGUCCAUUGGGUGUCAGGCGUCAACCAGUCUAUCUCUUGGUGUCAUGGAGCAUGGAGUUCUAGAUGUUGCUGAUGUUCCCUCGUUUGUGACCAUGGAGCAGGUGAUGCCUGUGAGUGACAUGACCAUUGAGCCAAGUGUGUUGGCACCUACUCCAAAUCCAGAUGCUCUCUUCGCGAAGGAACUUUGUGACUUGCUCGCCAGUGUGGAGGUUGCUAGACCUGGUUUGGGCAGGUCGAUUGCUUGCCUCUUGACAGGGACACCAAUAAGGGGCAAACAAAAGAAGGUGGGCAAAGGAAAGAGUGGCGCCAUGGGUAAGGCGUCUCUCACUGCUUGA
Molecule: ribosomal RNA, 1287 nt
Filed under: Triticum aestivum (bread wheat)
Lineage: Eukaryota; Viridiplantae; Streptophyta; Magnoliopsida; Poales; Poaceae
Description: partial small subunit ribosomal RNA
Source: RNAcentral